GACGUCCCUCCUGCAGCUGACCAUCAUGGGGGUAAAUGGCUGUGCCGAGCCAGUGUGGGGGGAUCUUCAGUGGAAGCCAGAGCGGAACCAGAGACGCGUGAAAAAGGAAAAGGAAAAAGGAGCCGAACUAAACAUGAAAAGCAUAUACAGAAAUACACUUUAACAACCACAAUGUAUAAUGUAGAUACACACAUGAAAUAACUAAAUGAAGACCAACAGGACGCCAUCAGGACGCCAUCAGGACAUCAUCAGGACGUCACGUCACCGGGGCGCGCUGAGAGUCGACCCCUCAGGAGCAGCUCCAGAUCCAC
Gasterosteus aculeatus aculeatus (three-spined stickleback) is the source of this 311-nucleotide long non-coding RNA. The record is from Ensembl. Lineage: Eukaryota; Metazoa; Chordata; Actinopteri; Perciformes; Gasterosteidae.